UCAUAUAUAAUAUUUAAUUUGCUUACACGGAUCGCGAGAAGCAAUAUUGCGUUGUGUCGAUUAUUCUGUUAAGAUUAGUUAACGUAAUAUUAUAAAACUUUUCAUAAUUGGAAUUGGUAACUCGAAUUAAUGUCGAAGAAACCGAAUUAUCAUCACUCCUUCCUCUAUUGUCAUUUAAGCUCUGCAAUACAACAUCGCAUUUGUAUAACUCGUAGAAAAAUGCGACCUUCUCGUUAUUCACGUGAUGUCAAUAAUUACAUUACAGAUGCUCAAUUUCUUUAUGUACCAAUGAUUCUUGUUUUUUUUUAGUAUUUAAAGUUAAGAAAUCGCCUACCGUUACAUUAAAAUAUAGCUCGUUAAUAUUUAAAUUUAAAGCAUAUUUCUACCUUAAAGUAAAAAUUAAAAUUUCUAAAGCUGGUAGCACAGAGUUAAAACACUCGAUUUUCGCACUUAGUGAAGGAAUGUUGUGGAUAGUUCUUAAACGAUGAUACUUCUCCGCUAUGAAGAUAACAUUAAUCAAAAUUUAAAUUAAGAAAAUUUAAAAAGCAUUUAGUAUCAUUAGGUUUUCUUAUGCUUCAAAAUUUAAA
Molecule: long non-coding RNA, 587 nt
Organism: Hylaeus volcanicus
Lineage: Eukaryota; Metazoa; Arthropoda; Insecta; Hymenoptera; Colletidae
Exons: 3
Source: RefSeq, a predicted model, not a curated record